GUCUGGCUGGCUCGGAGGUAGAGUGUGUGACUCUUGAUCCCAGGGUCAUGAGUUCGAGUCCCACGUUGGGCA
This 72-nucleotide transfer RNA is filed under the name Ailuropoda melanoleuca (giant panda). It matches the Rfam family "tRNA". Rfam says of the family: Transfer RNA (tRNA) molecules are approximately 80 nucleotides in length. Their secondary structure includes four short double-helical elements and three loops (D, anti-codon, and T loops). The record is from Rfam by way of RNAcentral. Lineage: Eukaryota; Metazoa; Chordata; Mammalia; Carnivora; Ursidae.